RNAcentral lists this ribosomal RNA (690 nucleotides) under Bacillus subtilis. Its description in RNAcentral is "bacterial SSU rRNA". It matches the Rfam family "Bacterial small subunit ribosomal RNA", at positions 472 to 1162 of the family's 1533-position model. Lineage: Bacteria; Bacillati; Bacillota; Bacilli; Caryophanales; Bacillaceae. The record is from RNAcentral.
ACGGUACCUAACCAGAAAGCCACGGCUAACUACGUGCCAGCAGCCGCGGUAAUACGUAGGUGGCAAGCGUUGUCCGGAAUUAUUGGGCGUAAAGGGCUCGCAGGCGGUUUCUUAAGUCUGAUGUGAAAGCCCCCGGCUCAACCGGGGAGGGUCAUUGGAAACUGGGGAACUUGAGUGCAGAAGAGGAGAGUGGAAUUCCACGUGUAGCGGUGAAAUGCGUAGAGAUGUGGAGGAACACCAGUGGCGAAGGCGACUCUCUGGUCUGUAACUGACGCUGAGGAGCGAAAGCGUGGGGAGCGAACAGGAUUAGAUACCCUGGUAGUCCACGCCGUAAACGAUGAGUGCUAAGUGUUAGGGGGUUUCCGCCCCUUAGUGCUGCAGCUAACGCAUUAAGCACUCCGCCUGGGGAGUACGGUCGCAAGACUGAAACUCAAAGGAAUUGACGGGGGCCCGCACAAGCGGUGGAGCAUGUGGUUUAAUUCGAAGCAACGCGAAGAACCUUACCAGGUCUUGACAUCCUCUGACAAUCCUAGAGAUAGGACGUCCCCUUCGGGGGCAGAGUGACAGGUGGUGCAUGGUUGUCGUCAGCUCGUGUCGUGAGAUGUUGGGUUAAGUCCCGCAACGAGCGCAACCCUUGAUCUUAGUUGCCAGCAUUCAGUUGGGCACUCUAAGGUGACUGCCGGUGACAAA